This 229-nucleotide ribosomal RNA is filed under the name uncultured bacterium. RNAcentral describes it as "partial 16S ribosomal RNA". It matches the Rfam family "Bacterial small subunit ribosomal RNA", at positions 568 to 796 of the family's 1533-position model. The record is from RNAcentral.
UGCGUAGGCGGUUUUAUAAGUCAGAUGUGAAAGCUCCCAGCUUAACUGGGAAAUUGCAUUUGAUACUGUAGAACUUGAAUCACGUUGAGGUUAGCGGAAUGUGACAUGUAGCGGUGAAAUGCAUAGAUAUGUCAUAGAACACCAAUUGCGUAGGCAGCUAACUAGGCGUGUAUUGACGCUGAGGCACGAAAGCGUGGGGAGCGAACAGGAUUAGAUACCCUGGUAGUCC